GCCUGGGUGGCUCAGUUGGUUGAGCAUUGGCUCUUGAUUUCGGCUCAGGUCACGGUCUCACAGUUUGUGGGAUCAAACCCCGCUUCGGGCU
This 91-nucleotide transfer RNA is filed under the name Felis catus (domestic cat). It matches the Rfam family "tRNA". From Rfam's summary of the family: Transfer RNA (tRNA) molecules are approximately 80 nucleotides in length. Their secondary structure includes four short double-helical elements and three loops (D, anti-codon, and T loops). The record is from Rfam by way of RNAcentral. Lineage: Eukaryota; Metazoa; Chordata; Mammalia; Carnivora; Felidae.